This 492-nucleotide ribosomal RNA is filed under the name uncultured bacterium. RNAcentral describes it as "partial 16S ribosomal RNA". It matches the Rfam family "Bacterial small subunit ribosomal RNA", at positions 29 to 507 of the family's 1533-position model. The record is from RNAcentral.
AGUGAACGCUGGCGGUAGGCCUAACACAUGCAAGUCGAACGGCAGCACAGUAAGAGCUUGCUCUUACGGGUGGCGAGUGGCGGACGGGUGAGGAAUACAUUGGAAUCUACUUUUUCGUGGGGGAUAACGUAGGGAAACUUACGCUAAUACCGCAUACGACCUACGGGUGAAAGCAGGGGGUCUUCGGACCUUGCGCGAUUGAAUGAGCCGAUGUCGGAUUAGCUAGUUGGCGGGGUAAAGGCCCACCAAGGCGACGAUCCGUAGCUGGUCUGAGAGGAUGAUCAGCCACACUGGAACUGAGACACGGUCCAGACUCCUACGGGAGGCAGCAGUGGGGAAUAUUGGACAAUGGGCGCAAGCCUGAUCCAGCCAUACCGCGUGGGUGAAGAAGGCCUUCGGGUUGUAAAGCCCUUUUGUUGGGAAAGAAAAGCAGCAGGUUAAUACCCCGCUGUUCUGACGGUACCCAAAGAAUAAGCACCGGCUAACUUCGUG